GAUCAUGGCUCAGGAUGAACGCUGGCGGCGUGCCUAACACAUGCAAGUCGAGCGAUCUCUUCGGAGAGAGCGGCGGACGGGUGAGUAACGCGUGGGUAACCUGCCCUGUACACACGGAUAACAUACCGAAAGGUAUGCUAAUACGGGAUAAUAUAUAAGAGUCGCAUGACUUUUAUAUCAAAGAUUUUUCAGUACAGGAUGGACCCGCGUCUGAUUAGCUUGUUGGCGGGGUAACGGCCCG
Molecule: ribosomal RNA, 241 nt
Filed under: uncultured bacterium
Lineage: Bacteria
Description: partial 16S ribosomal RNA
Rfam family: Bacterial small subunit ribosomal RNA
Source: RNAcentral